AGGUUGAAGAGAUUUUAAAAUCAAGUUCUUCAGGAGAUGGAUCAAGUAAGCCUAAAGAUCUUCAAAUCUGGAGGACCUUUUGUGGCCAACUCAGAAAAGAGGAUUCAGAAUUGAUUCUGCUGUGUUUGAUGAUUUCGACUAGCAGAUUCCACCUGGCAAAACCCAAAAGAGGACCACCUAUCCAUGAAAUGAGCUGGGGAUAAUUUCUUCAUGAAGAUUUUUGAUUUGGUGCUUGCAAAGAGACAAUAAUUUUAUUGAGAAUUUAAAAACCUUGGUACAUUUGAUUGCAAGAUUAGAGCAAUAAGGACUUCCAGGAAAAGAGGAGGAAUCAUCAAGAUAAAGAACAAGGAAGGUUGGACACUGAAGUCCUGGCUUUGGAAUCGACCCCAUCCAUUUUAAACAGGUAAUAAGACUGGGUGAAAAACAGAUUCUCUUCCUAAAAGGAAGAUUUCAAAUGACUGAUCCUAUUCAGGCUGAUGAUAAGUAACCUGGACUACAGAGGAUUUUCAAAUAAAAUUAGAUAGCAAUUUCAGGAAUUAUAGUAAUUGUGAAGUGAUUUUAAUGAAAAUAUGUGACAGAACCUAGAAACAUGAUACUGAGUGAAUAUUCUUUUUAAUAAAUUCUACUUUUCUAACUA
Molecule: long non-coding RNA, 637 nt
Organism: Ornithorhynchus anatinus (platypus)
Lineage: Eukaryota; Metazoa; Chordata; Mammalia; Monotremata; Ornithorhynchidae
Exons: 2
Source: RefSeq, a predicted model, not a curated record